GUGGAUUAUUUGUGUUGGAAUAUAUUACCCCAGUGAAGAAAGAGACGCGUCUAAAGAUGAGGACCAGGGAUGAACACACUGAGAGCGUUCUGUCCAUUCCUUCAUGACUGAUUAUAUUGGGGUCUGAGGAGCAGAACAGUGCCCAUUCUUGCUUAGCGCUUAGUCCACAGAGAGCUGAAAGAAAACGAGAGAAGGGAGAAAAAUGAAGCCAUAAAUUGAUUGUUGGGACUGAUGGACAUCCAGGAAGCAUUUUGAGUUCGGAAAUGAACUUUUGAAGGUGCACUAAUGAAAUAAGACUUUGCCUGCGUUGGUGUCCCUCUCUGAAGGAGACGUGGUGAUGAAUCGCUGAGGUGAAGUCCGUGCUCAAGGGCAGGGGAAUAAAUAUCAAGCUUUGACUUCUGGCCUCCAUGUCAGCACACGUUGGAUUUGCUACUGAAAAAGCGAUUGUUUUAUUUUAAAGUCCUGCCUCCAAGACAAGCUCUUAUUUCAAAUUAAACUUUCAAGGUCUCUGAGUCAUUUAUUCGUGUCGAAAGGGAGGCAGAAUGAAAUUCCAGGUAACUGUUAUAAAUCCACAGCAGACAUAAAAGAUGACAACGACAUUUUCACGGCUCCCCUCCAUGACGACUUUCAUCGUUUGUUCAUGAGAAACAUCCGAGACUGCUUGACUCUAUUCACUGACUUAAGAGAUGGAACAAAUGCACCUUGAAAGGCGAAUGUUUUGCCGCCUUUGUCUUGGUGCCUGUUUUUUUCAGGUACACGUUACACUGCAUUAAAGGCCCUGAGGAAAACGUGGUGCACUAAGUACUAAAUGCAAAGCCGAUCGCCAAACAGAUGGCCUUGAUGCACUGAUAAGCAGUUUGUGGUGUUUUGAUGUCUUCAGCCGAGUUAUCAGCCUUAGCUUGACUUUGUCAAAAAAAAAAAAAAAUCUUCCAUUUCCCCAGAGUUUCCAACCAGCACUAACUGGAAACAAAGAUGCUAUUAGUGAGCUUAGUCACUAUCUUCAUUCUGCACUACACCUCCCAUGGCACCCCACUCUCCAUACAAGGCAGCUUAUUUAUAACAUUAUUUAUAUAUUUAUUUAUUAUUGCAUUCCUUUUCUCUUCUUUUUCCAAGAAAAAUAUAACACCUCCUAAAAGGAUUACGUUGUUCAGGAGAAGUCAAAUAAUUAUCACUGCUUCUGCUGCUUUAAUUUGCCGUGAAUUCUCUUUUUCUCCAGUGCAAACCUUAUUAAGCAGCAUGUUUGAAGGGAACACUGGAUUUUAUUCAGCUGAUAAUGUUUGUCUAACAGGCUAAUGGCUCACAAGAAAAGGAAAAAGGUUCUUUUCAGGGUUCGCUUUCCACAGAGAAUUAGCUACAUGCAAAGGAGGAGAGUAUAGUAUGUCGUUUUUAGACAAAUACAGCAUGAUGAAACCUUAGGAUGAAAAGGUAGAGAAUGGUCUAACACUUGUUCUACAAAGACACUAUUAACAUGACCAAUUAAGUACGGAAAUAGCUAUAUUUGGAAGCAGUGGUUAACCCAAAAAAUAACCCAAACGGCACUUUGAUGGCUCAGACAGAAUUGCACUGGUCCAAUGAAAUGGUUAGCACUUGUAUUGUAGAUUGUAGACGACAUAAUGGAAAUCACAAAACUCAACAUUGUGUCCUAUUUAAAGCAUGUGUUUAUGUGAGAUUAUGUCAGUGUGCUAGUUACAGGAGGUUAUUGUCCGAUAAUGGAUAUUAAUAGCUUUUGCUUCAUGACGAUUUGACGUAGUUACCAUUGCACAGUUAUAUAACAUCGACAGUUUCUAAAACAGGCACCAAAAGAAAUAGCAUUUCCAUAUCCCAUCACCGGUCAGUAAAUAAACAUAGCCUACAAUUCUAUUCUGAUUGUGUGUGCUGGUAUUGAACGAUUAUGCAUGAUAGGGUGAUGUGAUGUUUUCUGAAGUUGAUUAUUUUCUAGUAGCACUAUGGUUAAACUUUUUAAAAUAAUACACAUACUGUUUUUAUUUGUUUAGAAAUGCAUUGAUAAGCUGUUAAAAAUAGUUCCUGUUAUCACAUAUUUGUAGUCAUUUCCUCUGUUUAUUCCUGAAAUGAAUUAGAGAAAUGAUAGGAGUUUUGACUCCUUCCAUUUGUGUUAGUUGAAAAUAUCCUUUCAGAAAGCUUCACUAUAUCAACACUGUGUUUGUUCAAAAUCAACAGGUUUUUAUAUGUUAACUAUUAGUAAUAGAUUAUGUGGCACAUAUUCCAUGUGAUGUAGAAACAUAACAUAUCAGAGCGAGUGUAUUAAUAUAAACUGCCGAUCUGCUUAGAGGCCAAAAGUCAUAUCACUGCAAUACAUGCUAUAUAUCAAUGUAUUUUGAUCAAUGUCAAAAUGUCAAUGAUCAAUUAUCAAUGUAUGAACUGUGCAAAAUGAUCAGCUGUAAGUUAAAGUUAAAUGUGUGAGACUGAUUGAAAUAAAAUGCAAAGAAAGGAUUUCAUUUCCUGUUUUAAAAUAUACAGCAAUAUCAACAUGUGA
Tachysurus fulvidraco (yellow catfish) is the source of this 2494-nucleotide long non-coding RNA. RefSeq lists it as uncharacterized. The record is from RefSeq and is a predicted model, not a curated record. The transcript has 3 exons. NCBI's taxonomy places the organism in Eukaryota, Metazoa, Chordata, Actinopteri, Siluriformes, Bagridae.